Small nuclear RNA from Saimiri boliviensis boliviensis (Bolivian squirrel monkey), 110 nucleotides. The record is from Ensembl. Lineage: Eukaryota; Metazoa; Chordata; Mammalia; Primates; Cebidae.
AUGUAUUAGGCUGUUCUUGCAUGUAUAUUAAAAUUGGAACGAUACAGAGGAGAUUAGCAUGACCCCUGUGCAAGGAUGACAUGCAAAUUUGUGAAGCGUUCUAUAUGUUU